AGCAGUAUGGCGCAGUGGAAGCGCAUCGGGCUCAUAACCCGCAGGUCAGAGGAUCGAAACCUCUUACUGCUA
RNAcentral lists this transfer RNA (72 nucleotides) under Tuber borchii (whitish truffle). It matches the Rfam family "tRNA". From Rfam's summary of the family: Transfer RNA (tRNA) molecules are approximately 80 nucleotides in length. Their secondary structure includes four short double-helical elements and three loops (D, anti-codon, and T loops). The record is from Rfam by way of RNAcentral. Lineage: Eukaryota; Fungi; Ascomycota; Pezizomycetes; Pezizales; Tuberaceae.